UACGUAGGGGGCAAGCGUUGUCCGGAUUUAUUGGGCGUAAAGAGCGUGUAGGCGGCCGCACAGGUCCGUUGUGAAAACUGGAGGCUUAACCUUCAGACGUCGAUGGAAACCGUGCGGCUAGAGUCCGGAAGAGGGGAAUGGAAUUCCUGGUGUAGCGGUGAAAUGCGCAGAUAUCAGGAAGAACACCCGUGGCUAAGGCGGUUCUCUAGUACGGUACUGACGCUGAGACGCGAAAGCGUGGGGAGCGAACAGG
RNAcentral lists this ribosomal RNA (253 nucleotides) under uncultured bacterium. RNAcentral describes it as "partial 16S ribosomal RNA". It matches the Rfam family "Bacterial small subunit ribosomal RNA", at positions 524 to 776 of the family's 1533-position model. The record is from RNAcentral.